CGACAUCCGUGGACAUAGGUAAUUUGGUGAACCAUGCAAACUGUUUGUGUUAUAGUUUGGUUAUUAUUGUUGAUGUUGAUUUAUCUUGCUUUUGCAUAUUACAGUUGUAGGUACUGUUUUGGGUCAUUGCAACAAGGUCUUGGAAGGUGCUUGGGUGGAUUUUAUGUGUGCCUACAAAGGCGUUCGAUCAAAGUCCUAAGUGAAUACAACAAGUUGUUUGCUUGCUCCAAGAAAGAUAAGUCAAAACUGCCUUGACUACAGCAAAAUUGAGUAGUAAUUCUGUUUGUUUUUUUUGUUUUUUGUUUGUCCUGCUAGAUUAGAUAACAAUUUCUAUUGGGAUUUUCCAAUCAUG
This 352-nucleotide long non-coding RNA is filed under the name Citrus sinensis (sweet orange). Its description in RNAcentral is "long non-coding RNA (CSIN_LNC003545)". The record is from RNAcentral. Lineage: Eukaryota; Viridiplantae; Streptophyta; Magnoliopsida; Sapindales; Rutaceae.